CACGAACAGCAUGUGUGGAUGUGGAGAUGACUCAUCCCUUUGAUCCCCAACCAUCGACACUGUCUGCUCCUGACAUCCAACCAUUGACAUCGUCAUGGCCUGAUGAUCCUCCCUCUAAUGUGUCAUCAGAAGGUUAAUAGUAGCCUAAUGCUUAUAUCAUUCACCUCACUCCAUCUCGUCAAGUAGGCAUUUUAUCAUCUCACAUCAUCACAAGAAGAAGGAAUCCUGGUGCUUUGCUAGCAAGCUGACCUUGGCACUGGAUCUCCUAUCCAAGAACUUGCAUCUACAGAUGGACUUGGUACCCAGCUUUGUGAUAGAAGCCAUGGAGAUAAAUCUAAUUACCUGGAGCUCAAAGGGACUUUGGAAAGGCCUAAAAUCUUCGUUUGUCUUUGAGGUCAUCGUUUGCUAAACUUCAUGGAUGUUAAUUAUUUUUUGGCAGGCAAGAAAUACCAAAGAAUUCGGGAUCCUCUUAAGAAGACAUUGCUUUAUAUUUCAUAAUAUCCCUUAAGUGACUUGUGCAUGACAGGUGCUCAGUAAAUUCUUUCCAAUUGAUUGAAAUAAAUUCUGAACAGUUUGAGUUUCAUAUUUAUAUUUGGCUUAUCAAAUCAUCAUCCCAGAGGCAAAAAUAACUAGAA
This 635-nucleotide long non-coding RNA is filed under the name Equus asinus (donkey). Its description in RNAcentral is "lncRNA (ENSEASG00005035410.1)". The record is from RNAcentral. Lineage: Eukaryota; Metazoa; Chordata; Mammalia; Perissodactyla; Equidae.